This 258-nucleotide ribosomal RNA is filed under the name uncultured bacterium. Its description in RNAcentral is "partial small subunit ribosomal RNA". It matches the Rfam family "Bacterial small subunit ribosomal RNA", at positions 26 to 288 of the family's 1533-position model. The record is from RNAcentral.
AGGACGAACGCUGGCGGCGUGCUUAACACAUGCAAGUCGAGCGGAAAGGCCCUUCGGGGUACUCGAGCGGCGAACGGGUGAGUAACACGUGAGCAACCUGCCCCUGGCUCUGGGAUAGCCUCCGGAAACGGGGAUUAAUACCGGACAUUCACUUCCUUCCGCAUGGUUGGUGGUGGAAAGUUUUUUCGGCCGGGAGGGGCUCGCGGCCUAUCAGCUUGUUGGCGGGGUAACGGCCCACCAAGGCGACGACGGGUAGCC